GCAAGUCGAGCGGUAACAUUUCUAGCUUGCUAGAAGAUGACGAGCGGCGGACGGGUGAGUAAUACUUAGGAAUCUACCUAGUAGUGGGGGAUAGCUCGGGGAAACUCGAAUUAAUACCGCAUACGACCUACGGGAGAAAGGGGGCAGUUUACUGCUCUCGCUAUUAGAUGAGCCUAAGUCGGAUUAGCUAGAUGGUGGGGUAAAGGCCUACCAUGGCGACGAUCUGUAGCUGGUCUGAGAGGAUGAUCAGCCACACCGGAACUGAGACACGGUCCGGACUCCUACGGGAGGCAGCAGUGGGGAAUAUUGGACAAUGGGGGCAACCCUGAUCCAGCCAUGCCGCGUGUGUGAAGAAGGCCUUUUGGUUGUAAAGCACUUUAAGCAGUGAAGAAGACUCCGUGGUUAAUACCCACGGACGAUGACAUUAGCUGCAGAAUAAGCACCGGCUAACUCUGUGCCAGCAGCCGCGGUAAUACAGAGGGUGCAAGCGUUAAUCGGAAUUACUGGGCGUAAAGCGAGCGUAGGUGGCUUGAUAAGUCAGAUGUGAAAUCCCCGGGCUUAACCUGGGAACUGCAUCUGAUACUGUUAGGCUAGAGUAGGUGAGAGGAAGGUAGAAUUCCAGGUGUAGCGGUGAAAUGCGUAGAGAUCUGGAGGAAUACCGAUGGCGAAGGCAGCCUUCUGGCAUCAUACUGACACUGAGGCUCGAAAGCGUGGGUAGCAAACAGGAUUAGAUACCCUGGUAGUCCACGCCGUAAACGAUGUCUACUAGUCGUUGGGUCCCUUGAGGACUUAGUGACGCAGCUAACGCAAUAAGUAGACCGCCUGGGGAGUACGGCCGCAAGGUUAAAACUCAAAUGAAUUGACGGGGGCCCGCACAAGCGGUGGAGCAUGUGGUUUAAUUCGAUGCAACGCGAAGAACCUUACCUGGUCUUGACAUAUCUAGAAUCCUGCAGAGAUGCGGGAGUGCCUUCGGGAAUUAGAAUACAGGUGCUGCAUGGCUGUCGUCAGCUCGUGUCGUGAGAUGUUGGGUUAAGUCCCGCAACGAGCGCAACCCUUUUCCUUAGUUACCAGCGGGUUAUGCCGGGAACUCUAAGGAUACUGC
Molecule: ribosomal RNA, 1102 nt
Filed under: Psychrobacter glacincola
Lineage: Bacteria; Pseudomonadati; Pseudomonadota; Gammaproteobacteria; Moraxellales; Moraxellaceae
Description: bacterial SSU rRNA
Rfam family: Bacterial small subunit ribosomal RNA
Source: RNAcentral